UGCUGGAGGUAUCAGAAGUGCGAAUGCUGACAUAAGUAACGAUAAAGCGGGUGAAAAGCCCGCUCGCCGGAAGACCAAGGGUUCCUGUCCAACGUUAAUCGGGGCAGGGUGAGUCGACCCCUAAGGCGAGGCCGAAAGGCGUAGUCGAUGGGAAACGGGUUAAUAUUCCCGUACUUGGUGUUACUGCGAAGGGGGGACGGAGAAGGCUAUGUUGGCCGGGCGACGGUUGUCCCGGUUUAAGCGUGUAGGUGUGUGUUCCAGGUAAAUCCGGUUCACUUUAACACUGAGGCGUGAUGACGAGGCACCACGGUGCUGAAGCAACAAAUGCCCUGCUUCCAGGAAAAGCCUCUAAGCCUCAGGUAACAUCAAAUCGUACCCCAAACCGACACAGGUGGUCAGGUAGAGAAUACCAAGGCGCUUGAGAGAACUCGGGUGAAGGAACUAGGCAAAAUGGUGCCGUAACUUCGGGAGAAGGCACGCUGACACGUAGGUGAAGUGGUUUACCCAUGGAGCUGAAGUCAGUCGAAGAUACCAGCUGGCUGCAACUGUUUAUUAAAAACACAGCACUGUGCAAACACGAAAGUGGACGUAUACGGUGUGACGCCUGCCCGGUGCCGGAAGGUUAAUUGAUGGGGUCAGCGCAAGCGAAGCUCCUGAUCGAAGCCCCGGUAAACGGCGGCCGUAACUAUAACGGUCCUAAGGUAGCGAAAUUCCUUGUCGGGUAAGUUCCGACCUGCACGAAUGGCGUAAUGAUGGCCAGGCUGUCUCCACCCGGGACUCAGUGAAAUUGAACUCGCUGUGAAGAUGCAGUGUACCCGCGGCAAGACGGAAAGACCCCGUGAACCUUUACUAUAGCUUGACACUGAACACUGGUCCUUGAUGUGCAGGAUAGGUGGGAGGCUUUGAAGUGUGGACGCCAGUCUGCAUGGAGCCAUCCUUGAAAUACCACCCUUUAAUGGCUGGUGUUCUAACGUGGGCCCGUGAACCGGGUUGCGGACAGUGUCUGGUGGGUAGUUUGACUGGGGCGGUCUCCUCCUAAAGAGUAACGGAGGAGCACGAAGGUUGGCUAAUCCUGGUCGGACAUCAGGAGGUUAGUGCAAUGGCAUAAGCCAGCUUGACUGCGAGCGUGACGGCGCGAGCAGGUGCGAAAGCAGGUCAUAGUGAUCCGGUGGUUCUGAAUGGAAGGGCCAUCGCUCAACGGAUAAAAGGUACUCCGGGGAUAACAGGCUGAUACCGCCCAAGAGUUCAUAUCGACGGCGGUGUUUGGCACCUCGAUGUCGGCUCAUCACAUCCUGGGGCUGAAGUAGGUCCCAAGGGUAUGGCUGUUCGCCAUUUAAAGUGGUACGCGAGCUGGGUUUAGAACGUCGUGAGACAGUUCGGUCCCUAUCUGCCGUGGGCGCUGGAAGAUUGAGGGGGGCUGCUCCUAGUACGAGAGGACCGGAGUGGACGCAUCACUGGUGUUCGGGUUGUCAUGCCAAUGGCACUGCCCGGUAGCUACAUGCGGAAGAGAUAAGUGCUGAAAGCAUCUAAGCACGAAACUUGCCCCGAGAUGAAUCUUCCCUGAGCCUUUAAGGCUCCUGAAGGAACGUUGA
Molecule: ribosomal RNA, 1592 nt
Filed under: Salmonella enterica subsp. houtenae serovar 48:g,z51:-
Lineage: Bacteria; Pseudomonadati; Pseudomonadota; Gammaproteobacteria; Enterobacterales; Enterobacteriaceae
Also listed under: 1 other name
Description: bacterial LSU rRNA
Rfam family: Bacterial large subunit ribosomal RNA
Source: RNAcentral